GGCAAGGUGGCGGAGUGGUUAACGCGUCAGCCUCGAAUAGGUAUGAGAAGGGAGUGCUUUGCACCCCUAUCUUAUAACCUCCUUAGCUGAUUCCUUAGGGAGCGCCGGUUCGAAUCCGGUCCUUGUCG
This is a non-coding RNA of Aspergillus novofumigatus IBT 16806, 128 nucleotides long. The record is from the annotation of a RefSeq genome assembly. NCBI's taxonomy places the organism in Eukaryota, Fungi, Ascomycota, Eurotiomycetes, Eurotiales, Aspergillaceae.